RNAcentral lists this ribosomal RNA (253 nucleotides) under uncultured bacterium. RNAcentral describes it as "partial 16S ribosomal RNA". It matches the Rfam family "Bacterial small subunit ribosomal RNA", at positions 524 to 776 of the family's 1533-position model. The record is from RNAcentral.
UACGUAGGGGGCAAGCGUUGUCCGGAAUCAUUGGGCGUAAAGAGCGUGUAGGCGGCUCGAUAAGUCUGCUGUGAAAGUCCAGGGCUCAACCCUGGAAGGCCGGUGGAAACUGUCGGGCUAGAGUCCGGAAGAGGCGAGUGGAAUUCCCGGUGUAGCGGUGAAAUGCGCAGAUAUCGGGAAGAACACCCGUGGCGAAGGCGGCUCUCUGGAACGGUACUGACGCUGAGACGCGAAAGCGUGGGGAGCGAACAGG